This is a long non-coding RNA of Labrus mixtus (cuckoo wrasse), 172 nucleotides long. RefSeq lists it as uncharacterized. The record is from RefSeq and is a predicted model, not a curated record. The transcript has 3 exons. Lineage: Eukaryota; Metazoa; Chordata; Actinopteri; Labriformes; Labridae.
CACAGGUACACACACAGACACACAGGUACACACAGGUACACACAGGUACACACAGAGACAAACAGGUACACACAGAGACACACAGGUGCACACAGAGACACACAGGUACACACAGGGACACACAGAGACACAGGUACACACAGGUACACACAGGUACACACAAGUACACACA